Molecule: long non-coding RNA, 2996 nt
Organism: Clarias gariepinus (North African catfish)
Lineage: Eukaryota; Metazoa; Chordata; Actinopteri; Siluriformes; Clariidae
Exons: 3
Source: RefSeq, a predicted model, not a curated record
UGGCAGUUUCCGACUUUACUCAGUUCCACAGCUCAGAGUCACUCCGUUAUAAACAGCCCCGGAUUUAACUCUCCCUCUGGCUGUACUAUGUUUAAGAGGAUGGCUGAAUUCGGUCCGGAUUCUGGAGGCCGCGUCAAGGGCGUGACCAUUGUGAAGCCCAUCGUGUUCGGUAAUGUCGCUCGUUAUUUCGGGAAGAAGCGUGAAGAGGACGGACACACACACCAGUAGACUGCAUGUUAAACUCUACUGAGAAAUUUACUGACAUGACUGAGGUCAUGUGAUCUAUUCUUGAUAAAAAACAAAACAAAAAGAUGCACACACACUAUGAACCAACCCUGUGUGUGUGUGUGUGUGUUCCCUCAGGACCUUACUGUAUGUAAAGAACAUCCAGUUCGAACUACACGAGAGUUACAGGAACUCCUUACGAGGUGUUUAUUAAUCACUCAGGCUGGAGCAGAGGAAAUCCUAGCACACAAAUGUUAAAAAAGAUAAUUAGAUUUUUGAAUUUGAAUUUAAAAAUUAGCUCGACUUUGUUCACACACACGGAGAUUAAACUGAUUUACUAAUUUAAAUUAUAAAAGUACUAAUAAACAAUACAAUUAAAAUUUGGAAUUUUCAACUUAAACAAUAACAAAACAAUAUUCCUAUAUAAAAAGUAUGGACAAAUUAACAAAUUAUGGUAAACACACAAACUAAACCUUACUUACAGAUUACAAUUAUAAACACUCUAAUUCCUAAACAUAUACAAACACAACAAUAAACAAAUAUUCUCAUAAACAUUAUUGUCUAGGCAAAUUUUUAAUUAGACUUUUUUUUUUAAUGAAUUGUCAAGCACAAAUUACAGUGAAACCUUGGAUUGCACACAGUUUGAGAGUUUUUCACAAGACGAGCAAAGAUUUUUAAUAAAUUUCAACUUAAAGAACGAACAAGUCUCGGUUUACGAGUACCGAGUAUCAUGUAUCACGCAUGCGGUUUUUCUCUCUCUUGCGCUGUGGGUAAUCGUCUCCUCCGCUGGGUCUUAGUGAUCAUCUCUUACUGGUAUAAUCAACAUCCGUAUACUGUUUGCAUAUACUGUUUACUAUAGCACUGUGACCACGUGUGUGCGUAAAAAACAUCUGUUAUGUCUGUAUGUGUGUGUACACUGCGUAUAAAGCAAAAGCAAGUCUCAGUAGAGAGGUUAAAUAUUAAUUUUGUCUCUCUGUAUCAGCCUGCUUUUUGUGUCUGUGUCUGUGCGCGUCAUUGGACACCGUGCCCCAUAUACACACACACACACACACUCACUCUUCCUGUCCAUGAUGGGUUUGUAAGUCUCAGCAGGUGAAGGUGUCUCCUCAUACACUGGAGAUCAGUGUAACUCUCAGCCAUGUUCAGACUCAGGAAUAAGGAGCGCUGCAAACUCUGGUGUUAGAGUUAUUAAUAAAUAGUUAUUAUAAUGUCUUAUAAUGUCAAUGUACACAGUGUAACAGGAGUGUAAGUUCCCACUUCACUCUCGUCCUUCCUCAGACAGACGUUUCUGAGGUAUAAAUACACUUCCAUAUAGACCUGUACAGUAAGCAUUGUCUACCAUGAAUGGAGGUUUCUAUCAGUUAUUCAACUGAAAUGUACACACUGUCAGAGUCACGGUGUAGGAUAUAAAUAAUUUUAUUAGAUUUUCAUUACAUUUCAGGAUGUAUACAAAUACCAGCUUCUCCCUGUAAACACUCUUCAGCCUGUAUAAGAAUAAUGUGAUGAAUGAGGUCUCGGGUCAGUAUUGAUCUGUCGUUAUACACUGCAGUACUACACUAAUUAUUCUGAAUAAUUAAUAAUAUUAAUGAAAGAAGUGUGUAAGAGACUGAACCAGAACCCUCAGGGCUUUAUUCCUGCACAGGGUGGAACACGCCCUUCAGAGUCUGUUUAACACAGAACCUUUCCCUAAACUAAUGCAGAGAGAGUCUGAGCACUGCCACACCCCUCUCUCAUCUCGGGAGUUCAUCAUAAAGAUGAACUUCACACUACAGAAUUUUAAGGGUUUUGUCUCAUUCUCUUACGCACUUCCCUAAUUGAUCUCAUUGAUUAUUUAGAAUAAUUAGUGCAACUGUGGGUUAGUGUGUUUAAGUUGUGAAGUGUACAGAUAGAAGCCCUUAUCCAGCUCCCUAACAAAAACGCAUUAAUCUUUAAUGAUAACCAAACUGUUUUUUAGGAGUUUAAUUCUUAACAAAACAUUGUAGCAACACAAUCCUUAAAAAAAAAUGUUACUUUUAAAAAAUCCAUGAUGUAAUGAAAAAUAAGCUGUUUAUUUAAAUGGAAAUCCCGUUAUUUGUCUCUGUCUGUCAAAACGAAGCUGCAACAAUUCUAUGUCCAACAUUGCGCACUGCCUGUACUGCAAUUUUGUCCUUUUGUGGGGGACAAGUGUAAAAGAUGUGUGAGCUACAGAGAAAUACGUGUUUCUGUGUUGCCUGCUCUCUUGGGUGUGUUUCCCUCUCUCUGUUUGUAAAGCAGGUUUAAUUGGCCUCUACCAUGGAGACGGGUGCUGAUUGGAGGAUCAGUCAGUGGUGUGUGCCUUACUCAAGCCUCCUGUACCUCCAUUGGACAAGCACUUCCUGAACCUGUGUGCCGUACUCCCACCUCCUGUAUCUCUAUUGGACAAGAACUUCCUAAACCUGUGUGCCGUACUCCCGCCUCCUGUGUUGCCAUUGGACUAGCACUUUGUGCAGCACUAUUUAAACGCCAUCCUGCCUGCUGCUCGAGAGACAACUGCUUGACUUGUUAUGGUGUUUUGCUUGUUUAUAUUGGACUUAUUAAGGAGUAAGCCAUCUUCAGAAUCUCUUGUUCGUGGCCCUCUGUCUCCUGUUCGUGCAUCAUCCCCUGUUCUGCAUCCUGCACCUACAACCCCUGUACAGGCCAGUGACCCUCCACCCGCACCUAGCGGCUCUUCAGCUCUGAACCCUGCAGUAUCACCUGAGGUCCUGGAGAAUUUGUUCUAAAUCCACAAAAGGCGCUGUUUUAUUUAUCCUGAG